This 452-nucleotide ribosomal RNA is filed under the name uncultured bacterium. RNAcentral describes it as "bacterial SSU rRNA". It matches the Rfam family "Bacterial small subunit ribosomal RNA", at positions 335 to 799 of the family's 1533-position model. The record is from RNAcentral.
ACUCCUACGGGAGGCAGCAGUGGGGAAUAUUGCACAAUGGGCGCAAGCCUGAUGCAGCAACGCCGUGUGAGUGAAGAAGGUUUUCGGUAUCGUAAAACUACUGUCCUAAGGGAAGAAACAAAUAGACGGUACCUUAGGAGGAAGCCCGGCCUAACUACGUGCCAGCAGCCGCGGUAAUACGUAGGGGCGAAGCGUUAUCCGGAAUCACUGGGCGUAAAGGGUGCGUAGGCGGCUUAGCAAGCCAGGGGUGAAAGGCAUUGGCUCAACCAAUGUAAGCCUUUGGAACUGUUAAGCUUGAGUGCAGGAGAGGUAAGUGGAAUUCCUAGUGUAGAGGUGAAAUUCGUAGAUAUUAGGAGGAACACCAGUGGCGAAGGCGACUUACUGGACUGUAACUGACGCUGAUGCACGAAAGCGUGGGUAGCGAACAGGAUUAGAUACCCUGUAGCACAGAG